GAUGAACGCUGGCGGCGUGCCUAAUACAUGCAAGUCGAGCGAACGGACGAGAAGCUUGCUUCUCUGAUGUUAGCGGCGGACGGGUGAGUAACACGUGGAUAACCUACCUAUAAGACUGGGAUAACUUCGGGAAACCGGAGCUAAUACCGGAUAAUAUUUUGAACCGCAUGGUUCAAAAGUAAAAGACGGUCUUGCUGUCACUUAUAGAUGGAUCCGCGCUGCAUUAGCUAGUUGGUAAGGUAACGGCUUACCAAGGCAACGAUGCAUAGCCGACCUGAGAGGGUGAUCGGCCACACUGGAACUGAGACACGGUCCAGACUCCUACGGGAGGCAGCAGUAGGGAAUCUUCCGCAAUGGGCGAAAGCCUGACGGAGCAACGCCGCGUGAGUGAUGAAGGUCUUCGGAUCGUAAAACUCUGUUAUUAGGGAAGAACAUAUGUGUAAGUAACUGUGCACAUCUUGACGGUACCUAAUCAGAAAGCCACGGCUAACUACGUGCCAGCAGCCGCGGUAAUACGUAGGUGGCAAGCGUUAUCCGGAAUUAUGGGCGUAAAGCGCGCGUAGGCGGUUUUUUAGUCUGAUGUGAAAGCCCACGGCUCAACCGUGGAGGGUCAUUGGAAACUGGAAAACUUGAGUGCAGAAGAGGAAAGUGGAAUUCCAUGUGUAGCGAUGAAAUGCGCAGAGAUAUGGAGGAACACCAGUGGCGAAGGCGACUUUCUGGUCUGUAACUGACGCUGAUGUGCGAAAGCGUGGGGAUCAAACAGGAUUAGAUACCCUGGUAGUCCACGCCGUAAACGAUGAGUGCUAAGUGUUAGGGGGUUUCCGCCCCUUAGUGCUGCAGCUAACGCAUUAAGCACUCCGCCUGGGGAGUACGACCGCAAGGUUGAAACUCAAAGGAAUUGACGGGGACCCGCACAAGCGGUGGAGCAUGUGGUUUAAUUCGAAGCAACGCGAAGAACCUUACCAAAUCUUGACAUCCUUUGACAACUCUAGAGAUAGAGCCUUCCCCUUCGGGGGACAAAGUGACAGGUGGUGCAUGGUUGUCGUCAGCCCGUGUCGUGAGAUGUUGGGUUAAGUCCCGCAACGAGCGCAACCCUUAAGCUUAGUUGCCAUCAUUAAGUUGGGCACUCUAAGUUGACUGCCGGUGACAAACCGGAGGAAGGUGGGGAUGACGUCAAAUCAUCAUGCCCCUUAUGAUUUGGGCUACACACGUGCUACAAUGGACAAUACAAAGGGCAGCGAAACCGCGAGGUCAAGCAAAUCCCAUAAAGUUGUUCUCAGUUCGGAUUGUAGUCUGCAACUCGACUACAUGAAGCUGGAAUCGCUAGUAAUCGUAGAUCAGCAUGCUACGGUGAAUACGUUCCCGGGUCU
Molecule: ribosomal RNA, 1370 nt
Filed under: uncultured bacterium
Lineage: Bacteria
Description: bacterial SSU rRNA
Rfam family: Bacterial small subunit ribosomal RNA
Source: RNAcentral